UGUUCCAGUCCCCAGAAGAAUUCCACCUAUUGCCAAUAGGUGGAGGGUGAGGAGCAAAACACAGUGAGCUCAGCAAAGAUCCUCUGAUGGGGAAGAAAGUGCCAAUUUUGGGCAACGACCAGCAGGGAAAGCCCAGGCUGCAGCACUGAAGGGAAGAUUAUGCUGCAGCUUUUUCUAUAUCAGAGGUGGGGAGCAGGGAAUGGCAGGAGCAGGGGAAUUCCUUGGGAUUCAGUGCCUGGCAUCCCUUUGGCACCUUGGAUCUUCACAUGGACCUCCUGGAUGUGGCUGGUGGCUGGGACAGCAGGUCUAUCCCAAGGCAACCCAACCAAUAUCCUGGCAUCCCUUUGGCACCUUGGAUCUUCACAUGGACCUCUUGGAGCUGGCUGGUGGCUGGAGCAGAAGACAUUUGCAGACAAACAAAUCCCAGACAGAGGAAUCCCAGGACACCCCGAGCUGGAAGGGAGACCCACAAGGAUCAUCAAAUCCAACUCCUGGCCCUGCACAGGACACCCCAAGAAGACUGUGAAGUGUUCAGAGCUUGGGGUUUGGAGCAACUCCCCCAAAAUCUGGAGGCU
Molecule: long non-coding RNA, 575 nt
Organism: Lepidothrix coronata (blue-crowned manakin)
Lineage: Eukaryota; Metazoa; Chordata; Aves; Passeriformes; Pipridae
Exons: 3
Source: RefSeq, a predicted model, not a curated record